CGCAGGAAAAGAAAUCAACCGAGACUCCCAAAGUAGUGGCGAGCGAAAUGGGACCAGCCUGUACUCUUUAUUCUCAUUGUUAGUCGAACACUCUGGAAAGUGCGGCCAUAGCAGGUGAUAGCCCUGUAGACGAAAACAGCGAGGAAGAACUAGGUGUACGACAAGUAGGGCGGGGCACGUGAAAUCCUGUCUGAAGAUGGGGGGACCAUCCUCCAAGGCUAAAUACUCGUGAUCGACCGAUAGUGAACCAGUACCGUGAGGGAAAGGCGAAAAGAACCCCGGGAGGGGAGUGAAACAGAUCCUGAAACCGCAUGCAUACAAACAGUCGGAGCCUCGCAAGGGGUGACGGCGUACCUUUUGUAUAAUGGGUCAGCGACUUACAUUCAGUGGCAAGCUUAACCGAUUAGGGCAGGCGUAGCGAAAGCGAGUCCGAACAGGGCGUUCAGUCGCUGGGUGUAGACCCGAAACCAGGUGAUCUAUCCAUGGCCAGGAUGAAGGUGCGGUAACACGUACUGGAGGUCCGAACCCACUAACGUUGAAAAGUUAGGGGAUGAGCUGUGGAUAGGGGUGAAAGGCUAAACAAACCUGGAAAUAGCUGGUUCUCUCCGAAAACUAUUUAGGUAGUGCCCCGUGUAUCACCUUCGGGGGUAGAGCACUGUCAUGGUUGUAGGGUCCAUUGCGGAUUACUACGCCAUAGCAAACUCCGAAUACCGAAGAGUGCAAUCACGGGAGGCAGACAUCGGGUGCUAACGUCCGGUGUCAAGAGGGAAACAACCCAGACCGCCAGCUAAGGUCCCCCAAUAUGGCUAAGUGGGAAACGAAGUGGGAAGGCUAAAACAGUCAGGAGGUUGGCUUAGAAGCAGUCAUCCUUUAAAGAAAGCGUAAUAGCUCACUGAUCGAGUCGUUCUGCGCGGAAGAUGUAAUGGGGCUAAGCCAUAUACCGAAGCUGCGGAUGCAUAUUUUUAUAUGCAUGGUAGGAGAGCGUUCCGUAAGCCAGCGAAGGUGCACUGGAAAGUGUGCUGGAGGUAUCGGAAGUGCGAAUGCUGACAUGAGUAGCGAUAAAGGGGGUGAAAGGCCCCCUCGCCGUAAGCCCAAGGUUUCCUACGCAACGUUCAUCGGCGUAGGGUGAGUCGGCCCCUAAGGCGAGGCAGAAAUGCGUAGCUGAUGGGAAGCAGGUUAAUAUUCCUGCACCAUUGUUAAAUGCGAUGGGGGGACGGGUCGCGGAAGGUUGUCCGGGUGUUGGAAGUCCCGGUCCUUGCAUUGGAGAAGGCGCUUUGGCAAAUCCGGGCGCGGAAUUCAAGGGUGUGAGACCAGUCACUCAGGUGACGAAGCAACUGGAAGUGGUUCCAAGAAAAGCCUCUAAGCUUCAGUUUAACAAGACCGUACCGCAAACCGACACAGGUGGGCGAGAUGAGUAUUCUAAGGCGCUUGAGAGAACUCGGGAGAAGGAACUUGGCAAAUUGGUACCGUAACUUCGGGAUAAGGUACGCCCCUGUAGCUUGACUGGCCUGCGCCAGAAGGGUGAAGGGGUUGCAAUAAACUGGUGGCUGCGACUGUUUAAUAAAAACACAGCACUCUGCAAACACGAAAGUGGACGUAUAGGGUGUGACGCCUGCCCGGUGCCGGAAGAUUAAAUGAUGGGGUGCAAGCUCUUGAUUGAAGUCCCGGUAAACGGCGGCCGUAACUAUAACGGUCCUAAGGUAGCGAAAUUCCUUGUCGGGUAAGUUCCGACCUGCACGAAUGGCGUAACGAUGGCCACACUGUCUCCUCCCGAGACUCAGCGAAGUUGAAGUGUUUGUGAUGAUGCAAUCUCCCCGCGGCUAGACGGAAAGACCCCAUGAACCUUUACUGUAGCUUUGCAUUGGACUUUGAACCGGUCUGUGUAGGAUAGGUGGGAGGCUUUGAAGCGUGGACGCCAGUCUGCGUGGAGCCAUCCUUGAAAUACCACCCUGGUUUGUUUGAGGUUCUAACCUUGGUCCGUAAUCCGGAUCGGGGACAGUGCAUGGUAGGCAGUUUGACUGGGGCGGUCUCCUCCCAAAAUGUAACGGAGGAGUACGAAGGUACGCUAGGUACGGUCGGAAAUCGUGCUGAUAGUGCAAUGGCAUAAGCGUGCUUAACUGCGAGACCGACAAGUCGAGCAGGUGCGAAAGCAGGUCAUAGUGAUCCGGUGGUUCUGUAUGGAAGGGCCAUCGCUCAACGGAUAAAAGGUACUCUGGGGAUAACAGGCUGAUACCGCCCAAGAGUUCAUAUCGACGGCGGUGUUUGGCACCUCGAUGUCGGCUCAUCUCAUCCUGGGGCUGUAGCCGGUCCCAAGGGUAUGGCUGUUCGCCAUUUAAAGAGGUACGUGAGCUGGGUUUAAAACGUCGUGAGACAGUUUGGUCCCUAUCUGCCGUGGGCGCUGGAUAUUUGAAGGGGGCUGCUCCUAGUACGAGAGGACCGGAGUGGACGAACCUCUGGUGUACCGGUUGUCACGCCAGUGGCAUCGCCGGGUAGCUAUGUUCGGAAGAGAUAACCGCUGAAAGCAUCUAAGCGGGAAACUCGCCUUAAGAUGAGAUAUCCCCGGGCUUCGAGCCCCUUGAAGGGUCGUUCAAGACCAGGACGUUGAUAGGUCAGGUGUGGAAGCGCAGUAAUGCGUUAAGCUAACUGAUACUAAUUGCCCGUAAGGCUUGAUCCUAU
Molecule: ribosomal RNA, 2676 nt
Filed under: uncultured Paraburkholderia sp.
Lineage: Bacteria; Pseudomonadati; Pseudomonadota; Betaproteobacteria; Burkholderiales; Burkholderiaceae
Description: LSU rRNA # 23S rRNA, large subunit ribosomal RNA - 5 prime truncation
Rfam family: Bacterial large subunit ribosomal RNA
Source: RNAcentral